GGCAAGAUGGCCGAGCGGUCUAAGGCGCCAGGUUCAGGCCUACCUGAACUAACAGUACUUCACUAGAAGACUUUCCUGGUCUCGAAAGGGGCGUGGGUUCGAAUCCCACUCUUGUCA
Podospora australis is the source of this 117-nucleotide non-coding RNA. The record is from the annotation of a GenBank genome assembly. Lineage: Eukaryota; Fungi; Ascomycota; Sordariomycetes; Sordariales; Podosporaceae.